Olea europaea var. sylvestris is the source of this 1382-nucleotide long non-coding RNA. RefSeq lists it as uncharacterized. The transcript is spliced from 2 exons. The record is from RefSeq and is a predicted model, not a curated record. Lineage: Eukaryota; Viridiplantae; Streptophyta; Magnoliopsida; Lamiales; Oleaceae.
UUAUCAAUACUAGCUUUUUACUAGUUCUUUUGAUAAUCUGAUGUACUCGGAAUUGCAAUCCCCAGUUAUCCACGCAUCAAUCUUCUCUUAGCAUACACAAGAAUGCUGGUAAAUCCUGUCUACCCCGUUGUCAUGCCUGGACAACUAUGUGCAGAACAGUGAUUGCAAAACAAAAUUAUCAUUGUGGAUUUGGGACUAGCAGCGUCUCCAACAGCAUUACCAGGUGCCUCUUGCUUAAGGUGUUCUGUCAAGGCUUACACCUUGGCUUACUGAGUCAAACUCAAGCAUAAGCCUCGUGACGGCAGGGAGUUGCCACAUUUGGGCUUUGUUCUUAGCACCCUCAAACCCUCGGUUGCUUGGGUUUUCCAGAAUGUGUUUUAAGGAUUUUUGGGAUGUUCCUAACACAAACCUUCUUAAAAACUAAUAAAAUCAAAAGAAAAGAAAAAGAUUGGAGAUUAGAGGAGAAAAAAUGAACACCCUGUGUGCCCUGGCCCUCUACUUGCACCCCUGAACAGAAACAGAGAAGAAAAAACCAGCAAUGUUGCUCCUUUCUAGCUAGCAUUUAACAAGUUUUUCUUCUUUUCUUUCUUUUACUGUCUUGGAUUUUGUCUCCACUUGUCAGUUUUCUACCUUUGUACUGGAAUCUGGAUCAUCUGACCCAGCAAUGGCCUGAAGAAAAAAAUGUUUACUGACGGGAUGAGACGAAAUAAAUUUGUCUUUGGCUUUCCAGCAUUCACCUCCUUCCCUUGUCAGGCCUUUUCAUUGAGUUUACUCUGGGUUUUGCUUUUUCUAUUAAAACCAAGCUAACGAAAUUUUUGAAGCUUGAUACUUCCAAUUUUGGAUUAGCGACCUUGUCAUAUAAUUACUACUUUCAUUACUGCUUUAUUGAUUUAUUGUUUGCUACCGUAUUGAUGUCUUUUAUGUUUCGAACUGCAAAUUUGACUUUGAUUUUGUUAUAAGCAUUAUUUAUUUAUUUAUUAUUAUUUUUUUUUUUACUAACUCUUCAAUUUUUUUAUUGGUGCCUUGAGGCUUAUGUCUUGCCUCACAGAUGGAAAAUGCUUAGAUUCCUCUAUCUAUCGUUUUUGAAUACUCAGAGAUUAUGAAACUACUUUUUAUCAGUUUAUUUCACAAUUACAAGAACAAACUUUCCUUUACUAUUCUGAUAUCAGUACCAUCUUUUGCAGCUUCCAAAUCUAUGAGCCUCAUUGUUAUUCAUGAAGAAUCUUUUUCUAAUAAAAUCAUCAAUUCCUUAAUUAAGAGUGCUUGUGCAAGUUAAUUUAUCAUGCCUGCAUGACAUCAAAAAAUGACUCAUGCUUUUCAAUUGAAUUUUGGCGACUUUGCAUAAAUGGCUCGGGGAUACAAUUUAUAAUGCUGCUUUUGGC